RNAcentral lists this ribosomal RNA (253 nucleotides) under uncultured bacterium. Its description in RNAcentral is "partial 16S ribosomal RNA". It matches the Rfam family "Bacterial small subunit ribosomal RNA", at positions 524 to 776 of the family's 1533-position model. The record is from RNAcentral.
UACAGAGGGUGCGAGCGUUAAUCGGAAUUACUGGGCGUAAAGCGUGCGUAGACGGUUAUUUAAGUCGGGUGUGAAAGCCCCGGGCUCAACCUGGGAAUUGCAUUCGAGACUGAAUAGCUAGGGUACGGUAGAGGGAAGUGGAAUUUCCGGUGUAGCGGUGAAAUGCGUAGAUAUCGGAAGGAACAUCAGUGGCGAAAGCGGCUCACUGGACUGGUAUUGACGCUGAGGUGCGAAAGCGUGGGGAGCAAACAGG